UACGUAGGGUGCAAGCGUUGUCCGGAAUUAUUGGGCGUAAAGAGCUCGUAGGCGGUUCGUCGCGUCGGCUGUGAAAUCCCGGAGCUCAACUCCGGGUCUGCAGUCGAUACGGGCGGACUUGAGUACUGCAGGGGAGACUGGAAUUCCUGGUGUAGCGGUGAAAUGCGCAGAUAUCAGGAGGAACACCGGUGGCGAAGGCGGGUCUCUGGGCCGAUACCUGACGCUGAGGAGCGAAAGCGUGGGGAGCGAACAGG
RNAcentral lists this ribosomal RNA (254 nucleotides) under uncultured bacterium. Its description in RNAcentral is "partial 16S ribosomal RNA". It matches the Rfam family "Bacterial small subunit ribosomal RNA", at positions 524 to 776 of the family's 1533-position model. The record is from RNAcentral.